Molecule: ribosomal RNA, 939 nt
Filed under: uncultured bacterium
Lineage: Bacteria
Description: bacterial SSU rRNA
Rfam family: Bacterial small subunit ribosomal RNA
Source: RNAcentral
GACGAACGCUGGCGGCGUGCUUAACACAUGCAAGUCGAGCGAUGAAGCACCUUCGGGUGUGAAUUAGCGGCGAACGGGUGAGGAACACGUGAAGAAUCUGCCUUCAACUCUGGGAUAACUCCGGGAAACCGGGGCUAAUACCGGAUAUGAGCCUUGAUCGCAUGAUCGGGGCUGGAAAGUUUUUCGGUUGAAGAUGACUUCGCGGCCUAUCAGCUUGUUGGUGAGGUAAUGGCUCACCAAGGCGACGACGGGUAGCCGGCCUGAGAGGGCGACCGGCCACACUGGGACUGAGACACGGCCCAGACUCCUACGGGAGGCAGCAGUGGGGAAUAUUGGGCAAUGGAGGAAACUCUGACCCAGCGACGCCGCGUGAGGGAUGAAGGCCUUCGGGUUGUAAACCUCUUUCAGUAGGGAAGAAGCGAAAGUGACGGUACCUACAGAAGAAGCACCGGCUAACUAUGUGCCAGCAGCCGCGGUAAUACAUAGGGUGCAAGCGUUGUCCGGAAUUAUUGGGCGUAAAGAGCUCGUAGGUGGUUCGAUACGUCGGAUGUGAAAAUCAGGGGCUCAACCCCUGACCUGCAUCCGAUACGGUCGAGCUGGAGUUUGGUAGGGGAGACUGGAAUUCCUGGUGUAGCGGUGGAAUGCGCAGAUAUCAGGAGGAACACCGAUGGCGAAGGCAGGUCUCUGGGCCAAUACUGACACUGAGGAGCGAAAGCGUGGGGAGCGAACAGGAUUAGAUACCCUGGUAGUCCACGCCGUAAACGGUGGGCGCUAGUUGUGCGAACCUUCCACGGUUUGUGCGACGCANCUAACGCAUUAAGCGCCCCGCCUGGGGAGUACGAUCGCAAGAUUAAAACUCAAAGGAAUUGACGGGGCCCCGCACAAGCAGCGGANCAUGCGGCUUAAUUCGACGCAACGCGAAGAACCUUACCAAGGCUU